Molecule: non-coding RNA, 97 nt
Filed under: uncultured Ruminococcus sp.
Lineage: Bacteria; Bacillati; Bacillota; Clostridia; Eubacteriales; Oscillospiraceae
Description: THF riboswitch
Rfam family: THF (Tetrahydrofolate) riboswitch aptamer
About the family: THF riboswitch presents a pseudoknot that joins P1-P2 and the loop of P3 and two THF binding.
Source: RNAcentral
CAGAGUAGAUGACGGUGCGUUAAGUGAUUGGCAGACGGGGAGUUGCUGCUGAAACGAAAAGGUAUAUGCCUUGCGGUACCGUGAUCGCAUCCCGCUG